UAGGGAAUAUUGCACAAUGGACGAAAGUCUGAUGCAGCGACGCCGCGUGAGUGAUGAAGGCCUUCGGGUUGUAAAGCUCUGUUCUUAGGGAAUAAAAAAAUGAAGGUACCUAAGGAGAAAGGACCGGCUAACUUCGUGCCAGCAGCCGCGGUAAUACGAGGGGUCCAAGCGUUGCUCGGAAUCAUUGGGCGUAAAGCGGGUGUAGGUGGCUUUGUAAGUCAGGAGUGAAAGCCCUAGGCUCAACCUAGGAAGUGCUUUUGAUACUGCGAAGCUUGAGUGUGGGAGAGGAUCGUGGAAUUCCAGGUGUAGUGGUGAAAUACGUAGAUAUCUGGAGGAACACCGGUGGCGAAGGCGGCGAUCUGGCCCAACACUGACACUCAGACCCGAAAGUGCGGGGAUCAAACA
This 405-nucleotide ribosomal RNA is filed under the name uncultured Bdellovibrio sp. RNAcentral's name for it is "bacterial SSU rRNA". It matches the Rfam family "Bacterial small subunit ribosomal RNA", at positions 355 to 774 of the family's 1533-position model. The record is from RNAcentral. Lineage: Bacteria; Pseudomonadati; Bdellovibrionota; Bdellovibrionia; Bdellovibrionales; Pseudobdellovibrionaceae.